Molecule: ribosomal RNA, 267 nt
Filed under: uncultured archaeon
Lineage: Archaea
Description: partial 16S ribosomal RNA
Rfam family: Archaeal small subunit ribosomal RNA
Source: RNAcentral
ACAGUCACUGACAUUAGAUACCCGCGUAGUCCCAGCCGUAAACUAUGCGCGUUAGGUGUAUCGGUGACCACGAGUUACCGAGGUGCCGAAGGGAAACCGUGAAACGUGCCGCCUGGGAAGUACGGUCGCAAGGCUGAAACUUAAAGGAAUUGGCGGGGGAGCACCGCAACGGGAGGAGCGUGCGGUUUAAUUGGAUUCAACACCGUAAAACUCACCAGGGAAGACUGUUACAUGAAGGCCGAGAUGAAGACUCUGCUAGAUUUUCAG